AAGGUCGAUCGGGUGAUUGCGGCAAGUCUUGUACUUGUCGAGGAAAGUCCGCACUCCAAAGAGCAAUAUGCCGGGUAACACCCGGGACGGGGAUAACCUGUCAGAUCGGGCCACAGAAAUAUACCGCCUAAGCAAAUGCUUGCAUUUGACGGUAAGGAUGAAAUGGUGGUGUAAGAGACCACCGGCAUGGGCAGCAAUGCCUAUGGCCAGGCAACCCUCAUAUGGAGCAAGGCCAAGCAGGAACGAGAAGCUGCUCGCUUCACUUUAGUUCUGGGUAGGCUGCACGAGGUACAGGGAGACUUGUAUCCCAGAAAGAUGAUCACACAGGUAAAGCUAUGGUUGGGAAGAAGUCCCUUGGGAUGUAAACUAACUGUAAUUACUGGACAGAAUGCGGCUUAUAGAUCGACCUGGGUG
RNAcentral lists this RNase P RNA (414 nucleotides) under Chloroflexota bacterium. RNAcentral describes it as "Chloroflexi bacterium RNase P RNA component class A". It matches the Rfam family "Bacterial RNase P class A". Rfam says of the family: Ribonuclease P (RNase P) is a ubiquitous endoribonuclease, found in archaea, bacteria and eukarya as well as chloroplasts and mitochondria. Its best characterised activity is the generation of mature 5'-ends of tRNAs by cleaving the 5'-leader elements of precursor-tRNAs. The record is from RNAcentral. Lineage: Bacteria; Bacillati; Chloroflexota.